GUUUCUGUAGUGUAGUGGUUAUCACAUCCGGCUAACACGCGAAAGGUCCCCAGCUCAAAACUGGGCAGAAACA
Non-coding RNA from Oryzias latipes (Japanese medaka), 73 nucleotides. The record is from Rfam. Lineage: Eukaryota; Metazoa; Chordata; Actinopteri; Beloniformes; Adrianichthyidae.